This 468-nucleotide ribosomal RNA is filed under the name uncultured bacterium. RNAcentral describes it as "partial 16S ribosomal RNA". It matches the Rfam family "Bacterial small subunit ribosomal RNA", at positions 28 to 507 of the family's 1533-position model. The record is from RNAcentral.
GACGAACGCUGGCGGCGUGCUUAACACAUGCAAGUCGAACGGAAAGGCCCUGCUUUUGUGGGGUGCUCGAGUGGCGAACGGGUGAGUAACACGUGAGUAACCUGCCCUUGACUUUGGGAUAACUUCAGGAAACUGGGGCUAAUACCGGAUAGGAGCUCCUGCUGCAUGGUGGGGGUUGGAAAGUUUCGGCGGUUGGGGAUGGACUCGCGGCUUAUCAGCUUGUUGGUGGGGUAGUGGCUUACCAAGGCUUUGACGGGUAGCCGGCCUGAGAGGGUGACCGGCCACAUUGGGACUGAGGUACGGCACAGAGCCCUACGGUAGGCAGCAGUGGGGAAUAUUGCACAAUGGGCGGAAGCCUGACGCAGGAACGCCGCGUGAGGGAUGACGGCCUUCGGGUUGUAGACCGCUUUCGCCUGUGACGAAGCGUGAGUGACGGUAAUGGGUAAAGAAGCGCCGGCUAACUACGUG